RNAcentral lists this ribosomal RNA (465 nucleotides) under uncultured bacterium. RNAcentral's name for it is "partial 16S ribosomal RNA". It matches the Rfam family "Bacterial small subunit ribosomal RNA", at positions 338 to 795 of the family's 1533-position model. The record is from RNAcentral.
CCUACGGGAGGCAGCAGUGGGGAAUUUUGCGCAAUGCUCGUAAGAGUGACGCAGCGACGCCGCGUGAAUGACGAAGGCCUUCGGGUCGUAAAGUUCUUUCGACAGGGAAGAAACUGCCUAUCCGUCCCUGUGUAUGUAUUGACGGUACCUGUAUAAGCAGCCCCGGCUAACUCCGUGCCCGCAGCCGCGGUCAUACGGAGGGGGCGCGUGUUGUUCGGCGUGCCUGGGCGUACCGCGCCCGUAGUCUGUGUUGGAAGUCAUUAGUCAAAGACUAGCGCUCAACUUUAGUAAGGCUAGUGAUACUAUAAUACUAGAGUAUCAGAGAGGAUUGCAGAAUUCCUGGUGUAGCGGUGAAAUGCGUAGAUAUCAGGAGGAAUACCGUUAGCGAAGGCGGCAAUCUGGCUGGAAACUGACGCUGAGGUGCGAAAGCGUGGGUAGCAAACAGGAUUAGAUACCCCAGUAGUC